UCUGAUUUUGAAUGACUGCGCUUAUUGUUAGCGGCAAUAAUUAAAUACCUGCAAAAUGAAGCAAAUGGAUAUUGAAAAUAAAGCAAACAGAGCAAUAUAGCUCUAAUUACAGGUUAAAUAACGCAAAUAAUUUGCACUUAUAAUACGCAUGAUGAAUGUAACAUAAUGUAAAAAAUGUACCUUAAAAUAUAUAUCUACGUGUACUGAACAGACGUGUACUUAUCACUGUUUGUUCAGAGUGUCAUUAAAGAUAACAAUAUUAUAUAUACUCACGAGUCUAAGCGAGUCCGAUCGAGCAGCUUGACAGUUCGCUGCAGUUACUAUAGAUUGCAUUUUGUUUAGUAAAAAUAGAACUUCAUAUUCUUCGCGAAACUUCGCUAAUUGCUCUGCUGUGAUUUAAAAUGAGUUCAAGAAAAUACGUCAUAACAAAUCUAUAAACAAACGAGAGUCAGGAUAAUGUUUGUAUGCAUUAAUUCCAGCGGAGCUACGGGAGAAGUUAGCAAGUGAUUUAGUUCCGUAACUUUGUUUAUUAAUGCCGUUACAACGCCACCUGAGCCAGGUACAAUUCCGAGCUCGACAUUAAAAGCCGGCUCGCACGAUAAUGCGCAGCCCUCAUAUCGCACGUCUAAAAAUUGCCAUCUAAAUCGCACCGCUUUUCAUGGGAAUUUACAAAAUUUCAUCAGUCCGAAUAUCAAUUGGCUCGGCCGAGAGUUAUAGGGGAAAAGAAGAAAAGAGCAAACAUUUCUCUUCGAAGCAUAAUCUCUCGUUGUAAAUAAUACGAACAACACGAUCACCGUUCCACUUCUUUGGUAGCGUACUAAAGGUGAAGCUAAGAGAAUAGAGAAGACAGGUCUUACGUAAUUCUGCUCGUCCGCGAAAAGAAAUUAAAUAACAGAUCUCUCUAUAACGACGCUAUAUAUAAACAUCUUAUUAUUAUUUACAUCAUUGGCGAGUUGCUCCUAAUAAUCGUGUAAACCGCUACGUUUCGCCGAGCACAAUCUAACGAUGCUUGAUCCAAGGGGAGAGAAGAUAGGAAUAUAUAUAUAUAUAUUAUAUAUUAUUAUCAUUAUGUUCGACACGAUGUACGCGAAUAAAAUCGAUUAGGUCUGGAAAAUAA
Wasmannia auropunctata (little fire ant) is the source of this 1117-nucleotide long non-coding RNA. RefSeq lists it as uncharacterized. Lineage: Eukaryota; Metazoa; Arthropoda; Insecta; Hymenoptera; Formicidae. The transcript has 2 exons. The record is from RefSeq and is a predicted model, not a curated record.